Molecule: long non-coding RNA, 800 nt
Filed under: Cricetulus griseus (Chinese hamster)
Lineage: Eukaryota; Metazoa; Chordata; Mammalia; Rodentia; Cricetidae
Description: lncRNA (ENSCGRG00015042691.1)
Source: RNAcentral
CAGCAGCUGUAGCUUAAAAAGAAUAACAUUUGGCACCUGGACGUGGAAAGGCUCUCUCCUUGUACUUUCUCCGGAGGCCCACUGGCAGGCAUGAGGUAAGGCAAGGGACCCUAACACACGGAUGGACAACCCACACUCAAUCUCACCGGUUUGCUGGGACUCUACAUCCAACACCGGACCCUAUUUGGUCUAAGAGGCGCCAGGGAGUUGCAUACAGCCUGGACUACAAUGAAACAACCAGCUUCCCCAGGACGUGGCAGCACCCCAACCUUCUCGGGUCCCCCAAAGAUGGUCAACGCCCCCCAUGUCAGCAGGAAGCAGUCUUAAGAAGUCGACGCCCUUAUUCCUUAACCUGCCAUGUCUAAACACCCACCUUUUUUUAAUAAUAAGUAGAGGUGGGAAUGAAAGGUUCAGGCAUUAUGCUGGCCUGCCCCUGUUAUCUGGUGGAAUCCACUCAGGCAAUACCCUGGUCAGCCCAAGGUUCCAUGGGAAAGAAGUCUGUACGCAGGUGCAGAGGACCCCUUUAAAAGAUAGGCCCCUGCCCUCUCUCUCUCUCUCUCCCCCUGUUCCUGCUCUCUGUCCCCUCUCUCUGUUUCCCGCUCUGUCUCUCUAUGGCGACCGGCCAUGGCGGUCAGCCAUUACCCUGUUACUCUUCUUAGUCUACCCAUUCUGCCAGUCCUUAUAAUAAACUUAUAGUCAAUAUGUCUGUCUCAAUAUUUCUCUUUUCUUCUUUUUAAACAAAAGAAUAACAAACAUGGGGUUAGCUCGUUAAAUUGCAAUAAAGCCUCAUGCAGUUUGCA